Molecule: ribosomal RNA, 756 nt
Filed under: uncultured bacterium
Lineage: Bacteria
Description: bacterial SSU rRNA
Rfam family: Bacterial small subunit ribosomal RNA
Source: RNAcentral
AGAGUUUGAUCCUGGCUCAGGAUGAACGCUGGCGGCGUGCUUAACACAUGCAAGUCGAACGGGGAUGCCAUUUUUGAAGCGAUUAGCUUGCUAAGAGUGGAAAUGUUGGCAUCUUAGUGGCGGACGGGUGAGUAACGCGUGGGGAACCUGCCCUGUACAGGGGGAUAACACUUAGAAAUAGGUGCUAAUACCGCAUAAGCGCACAGUAUCGCAUGAUACAGUGUGAAAAACUCCGGUGGUACAGGAUGGACCCGCGUCUGAUUAGCUGGUUGGCGGGGUAACGGCCCACCAAGGCGACGAUCAGUAGCCGGCCUGAGAGGGUGAACGGCCACAUUGUGACUGAGACACGGCCCAAACUCCUACGGGAGGCAGCAGUGGGGAAUAUUGGACAAUGGGGGGAACCCUGAUCCAGCGACGCCGCGUGAGUGAAGAAGUAUUUCGGUAUGUAAAGCUCUAUCAGCAGGGAAGAAAAUGACGGUACCUGACUAAGAAGCCCCGGCUAACUACGUGCCAGCAGCCGCGGUAAUACGUAGGGGGCAAGCGUUAUCCGGAUUUACUGGGUGUAAAGGGAGCGUAGACGGUGCAGCAAGUCUGAUGUGAAAGGUCGGGGCCCAACCCCGGGACUGCAUUGGAAACUGUUGAACUGGAGUACAGGAGAGGUAAGCGGAAUUCCUAGUGUAGCGGUGAAAUGCGUAGAUAUUAGGAGGAACACCAGUGGCGAAGGCGGCUUACUGGACUGUAACUGACGUUGAGGCU